This 490-nucleotide ribosomal RNA is filed under the name uncultured bacterium. RNAcentral's name for it is "partial 16S ribosomal RNA". It matches the Rfam family "Bacterial small subunit ribosomal RNA", at positions 30 to 507 of the family's 1533-position model. The record is from RNAcentral.
AUUGAACGCUGGCGGCAUGCCUUACACAUGCAAGUCGAACGGCAGCAUGAUCUAGCUUGCUCGAUUGAUGGCGAGUGGCGAACGGGUGAGUAAUACAUCGGAACGUGCCCUGUAGUGGGGGAUAACUAGUCGAAAGAUUAGCUAAUACCGCAUACGACCUGAGGGUGAAAGUGGGGGACCGCAAGGCCUCAUGCUAUAGGAGCGGCCGAUGUCUGAUUAGCUAGUUGGUGAGGUAAAGGCUCACCAAGGCGACGAUCAGUAGCUGGUCUGAGAGGACGAUCCGCCACACUGGGACUGAGACACGGCCCAGACUCCUACGGGAGGCAGCAGUGGGGAAUUUUGGACAAUGGGCGAAAGCCUGAUCCAGCAAUGCCGCGUGUGUGAAGAAGGCCUUCGGGUUGUAAAGCACUUUUGUCCGGAAAGAAAUGGCUCUGGUUAAUACCUGGGGUCGAUGACGGUACCGGAAGAAUAAGGACCGGCUAACUACGUG